Long non-coding RNA from Thunnus maccoyii (southern bluefin tuna), 2286 nucleotides. RefSeq lists it as uncharacterized. The transcript has 4 exons. NCBI's taxonomy places the organism in Eukaryota, Metazoa, Chordata, Actinopteri, Scombriformes, Scombridae. The record is from RefSeq and is a predicted model, not a curated record.
CACAAUGUAAGUCUAUGGGAAAAAGUCUUUUUGGGCAAGUGUGCAUCACAUGACGUUGUAAUUACACGGUUUAGCCGCUAUGUCAAAUGGGCUUCAAAGCCUGGCGCUGUUCCUGUAUCCAGUUAUCUUUAUACAUCCAUGCUUCAAAACCGCUCUUCAGAAACCAUUGGGUGACGUCACGAAAUACUGAGGAAAUGAGACUGAAGGGGGGCUGCAGGCCUCUAAAUAAUUGCCUAAAUGGAUACAGGCCAAUGAACUUGGCACCUCAGAGGGCAUUUUGAGGAAGAUGUACGCAAGUCUUUCAUGUCUGAGAUCUAAGAGUGAUUACAGAUUCAGACCUGAGGGACCAGUCUGGGAGGACCUGCUUCAGUCACUGUUUACCUGCUGGAAGAAGACUGAGGGGAGAUGAAGAGAGGCAGGGACAUCAGUGUCAUCAGUUCCUGAUUGUGGAAGGGGGGGGGGUAAAGGCAGCAGGAGAAAGUGGAGGAGGCCCAUGCUGACCGUAGCAGAGUCCUGCAGAGGCAGAGCCCCCUUGGAGCCAGCCUCAGUGAGGAUGCCAUGUGAUCUCUGAAAAGUCAACAAGGGUUGGUCCACAGCUGGGCUGCAGGAGAACAGAGAGCAGACACGUAGCAACACCCUCCUGCUGGGAGCAGCCGAGGAGAUGUAGGACUCACAGCCUGCAUCUGAAAUCUACUGUAGAUUUGAAAUGUGAGACGACAGCGAGGAAGGAAUCUUCCCCCCAAUUCAGCUUUCAUCAUCUCAGAGGCAAUUCCUAUUUUUAGCACUCGUUUUUAGUUGACAUACAUGGUCAAACACUAAUCCUUGGACUCUAAUUUCCUGCAUUUUUUGACUCUUCAACAAUAAAUAUUAUAUCUCGUCUCCUCCGAGCAAACUCACAAUCCAUCUCAUCUGUGCCAGUGAGCCACCACACAAUGGGAGAGCUGCAGAUUUAAUUUCCAAAAAAAAAAAAAGAUUAAGUUGCCUUCUGCAUCACUGAAACUUUCUGGGGGUUUGAAGUUGAAAUCUCAGUGGUUAUGCCUCUCUUUGUCCGAAGCAUCGGUUUGAACAAAGGUGCAGUGAAGCAUCAGCAGCAAAGAAUCUAAUAAGCGCAAUGUGGGAAUAAAGCAGAGGGGAGUGAGCAUCAAAGGCAGCCAGGCACAGCAUGACUGGCAUCGGGCUGAACUCCCAACCUAGGACACUCAGCAUGCUCUUCAGCAAUCGCCCCCUUUAGACCAAUCCUGGGCAGUAAUUAAAACCAUCAUUCCCACUGCCUCGGUAUCUCAUUAGCCACAGGACCCUGGGCUUUCAUCCCUGCUUGUCCAAAUAUAUCACAACUCCACACCAGCAAAGAUGAGUCUCGCACAACCAAAACACACGUCUGUGACAUCUCUGAGCGGAACAGAGCAUUAUCUAACUAUCAUCCAACUCCAAAGAACAGUGGGAGACCACGCGAGCCUGUCUCUUCAUGUCCACUGUAAUUAUUAUUGCACCUAUCAGAGAUGAAUUGGAGGGAAACUGUCACCCUGCUGUUGGCUGAUUAAAUCUACCUGUGCAUGAAACAAAGAAUAAACACAGAUAUGAGAGAAUAACCAAAACGUAACUAUGACAUGUUUGUUCUGCGGGGAACACGGCAGAAACGACUUAGCAGAGUGCUUUUGUAUAAUUUUGUUUUCGGCUGCAAACAUCAACCGGUGUUUGCGACUGAAACCCAUUAAAAAAUGAGGACAAACUGAUACAUUUGAAGCUCCUACGCCUUCACUAUCAAAGGGAGGAUUUGAAGUGGGCGAGUAUCGGUUGCAGUGGUCAGAUUUAGCACUUUGGCUGUAGAUAAAAAGAAACUCUUCUUCCCAUGUUUAAUUCAGUAUGAGCCAUGACUAACUCAUGUAAUAUAGUGGGCCUCUGAAGUCAAUCGAAGGCUUUUUCGCUUGCUUUGUGUACUGUAGGCAGGAAUGAAUGCGUCACUGUAUUUUGACAGUGUUCAGCACAGGGAUGCAGGUUAGGAAAAUAUGUUGGGAUAUUUUAUUCUCUGGUAAAUUAGUUCUUCAUAUAGCAGCAGCAGCAGAAGCAGCAGCGCAGAGCUAUACUAAAACCUUAAUCCACUGCAUGUUAUUAACCUACUUGGCAUCACUGCCAGGCUGUUUUAGUGCUUUCAAAUGACAGCAAGAGAGCUGAUGGAGAGAAGACAGGAUGUCAGCGAAAGCAUCGUUUGUUUUUCUUUCAAGUAAACAGCGGCCUAUCUCUCUUUCAAUUGCCAGUUCAAUAGUAGGCCUGCAUGUAUGUUGAAUG